AUACGUAGGUGGCAAGCGUUGUCCGGAUUUACUGGGUGUAAAGGGCGUGUAGGCGGAGAUGCUAGUCAGGAGUGAAAUCUAGGGGCUCAACCCCUAAACUGCUUUUGAAACUGUAUCCCUUGAGUAUCGGAGAGGCAGGCGGAAUUUCUAGUGUAGCGGUGAAAUGCGUAGAUAUUAGGAGGAACACCAGAGGCGAAGGAGGCUUACUGGACUGUAACUGACGUUGAGGCUCGAAGGCGUGGGGAGCAAACAGGAUGAGAUACCCUGGUAGUCCACGCUGUAAACGAUGAUUACUAGGUGUGGGGGGACUGACCCCUUCCGUGCCGCAGUUAACACAAUAAGCAUUCCGCCUGGGGAGUACGGCCGCAAGGUUGAAACUCAAAUGAAUUGACGGGG
Molecule: ribosomal RNA, 396 nt
Filed under: uncultured bacterium
Lineage: Bacteria
Description: partial 16S ribosomal RNA
Rfam family: Bacterial small subunit ribosomal RNA
Source: RNAcentral